Molecule: long non-coding RNA, 877 nt
Organism: Alligator mississippiensis (American alligator)
Lineage: Eukaryota; Metazoa; Chordata; Crocodylia; Alligatoridae
Exons: 3
Source: RefSeq, a predicted model, not a curated record
AUUAGGGCAGCCAUUUUAGAGAGAAGGGCUGCCUUUAUAAGCAGGGCAGUUUGGCUGCAGGAGGCCAGGCAGCAACAUUGUCUGGCUGUAGGGCUGCUAUGAAGGACCCGGAGGUGUUUAAUUUGCUUGUGGUGUUGCAGAGGCAUCAUGAGCAGUGACUUCUUGACUACAGGCGUGAGCAUUUUCUAGAACUGCUCUAGCUUUUGUUGCUCUACUGCAAAUGCCUGGCCUAAAGAUAAUCCACAUCAGGUUCACUCUACUACAACUACUAAACAACAACUACUAAAGCAGAGAGAGAUUAUAAAGUCCAGUGCUCGGAAAGGGAUUCCAGGCUCAGAUCUUCUACAGCCACUUUCAUACAAGUCCUCAAGCCUCAAGGCAUAAGAAGUUUCUAAAUCAGUUACUGGGAUUUAAUUAAAGAGGUUUUUCAUCAUUUUCAAGGGCAGCACCUUAAUGUGACCAAUAAGCUAAAGGAUAUAUGGUGUUAGAAUCAGCUCUCUAAUUGACCAGGAAAAAUCCAGACAACGUACUUAAAAAGCUUUAAUAAGAAGUUUAAAAAGGCAUUUUGUGAUCUUACACGUCCUUAUCUUGUCUGUAAUUGAAAGCUACAAAGUAAUUGAGGGCUACAGCUUUCCCAGGGCUGAAUACUACUGUAUUACAGACAGACAGAAUGGAUUAUUUGAAUUACUUGUACAAGUGAUUAACAAUUUCUUCUCUCUCUUUCUCGCUCUAUUUUAUCAUCUCCCUCAAAUCAUAAUCACCUGCACCACUUCCUACAUACCACCAUGCCUAGCACCUACAGAAAUGGAAAACCAGCCACUCAAAUAUAAUCCAUAUACAAAUAAAUGUAAUAUUAUCCCUUAGUAGCUAAUCAAAA